Molecule: ribosomal RNA, 254 nt
Filed under: uncultured bacterium
Lineage: Bacteria
Description: partial 16S ribosomal RNA
Rfam family: Bacterial small subunit ribosomal RNA
Source: RNAcentral
UACGGAGGGGGCGAGCGUUGUCCGAAGUUACUGGGCGUAAAGCGCGCGUAGGCGGGCUGGCAAGUCCGCUGUGAAAGCCUGCGGCUUAACCGCAGAGGGUCGGUGGAUACUGCCAGUCUUGAAGGUGCUAGGGAGAGAUGGAAUUCCUGGUGUAGCGGUGGAAUGCGCAGAUAUCAGGAGGAACACCGGUGGCGAAGGCGGGUCUCUGGGCCAUUACUGACGCUGGAGGAGCGAAAGCGUGGGGAGCGAACAGG